GUGACCCCGGUCUUACCACCGGGAUGUUCAUAACCCUUUGUUGUCCGACUCUGUUGCCUCCGGGGCGACCCUGCCUUCGGGCGGGGGCUCCGGGUGGACACUUCAAACUCUUGCGUAACUUUGCAGUCUGAGUAAACUUAAUUAAUAAAUUAAAACUUUUAACAACGGAUCUCUUGGUUCUGGCAUCGAUGAAGAACGCAGCGAAAUGCGAUAAGUAAUGUGAAUUGCAGAAUUCAGUGAAUCAUCGAAUCUUUGAACGCACAUUGCGCCCCCUGGUAUUCCGGGGGGCAUGCCUGUUCGAGCGUCAUUUCACCACUCAAGCCUCGCUUGGUAUUGGGCAACGCGGUCCGCCGCGUGCCUCAAAUCGACCGGCUGGGUCUUCUGUCCCCUAAGCGUUGUGGAAACUAUUCGCUAAAGGGUGUUCGGGAGGCUACGCCGUAAAACAACCCCAUUUCUAAGGUUGACCUCGGAUCAGGUAGGGAUACCCGCUGAACUUAAGCAUAUCAAUAAGCGGAGGAAAAGAAACCAACAGGGAUUGCUCUAGUAACGGCGAGUGAAGCAGCAAUAGCUCAAAUUUGAAAUCUGGCGUCUUCGACGUCCGAGUUGUAAUUUGUAGAGGAUGCUUCUGAGUAACCACCGACCUAAGUUCCUUGGAACAGGACGUCAUAGAGGGUGAGAAUCCCGUAUGCGGUCGGAAAGGUGCUCUAUACGUAGCUCCUUCGACGAGUCGAGUUGUUUGGGAAUGCAGCUCUAAAUGGGAGGUAAAUUUCUUCUAAAGCUAAAUAUUGGCCAGAGACCGAUAGCGCACAAGUAGAGUGAUCGAAAGAUGAAAAGCACUUUGGAAAGAGAGUUAAAAAGCACGUGAAAUUGUUAAAAGGGAAGGGAUUGCAACCAGACUUGCUCGCGGUGUUCCGCCGGUCUUCUGACCGGUCUACUCGCCGCGUUGCAGGCCAGCAUCGUCUGGUGCCGCUGGAUAAGACUUGAGGAAUGUAGCUCCCUCGGGAGUGUUAUAGCCUCUUGUGAUGCAGCGAGCGCCGGGCGAGGUCCGCGCU
This 1052-nucleotide ribosomal RNA is filed under the name Dothideomycetes sp. genotype 173. RNAcentral's name for it is "eukaryotic LSU rRNA". The stretch from base 462 to 1052 matches the Rfam family "Eukaryotic large subunit ribosomal RNA", at positions 1 to 513 of the family's 3401-position model. The record is from RNAcentral. Lineage: Eukaryota; Fungi; Ascomycota; Dothideomycetes.